This is a long non-coding RNA of Ictalurus punctatus (channel catfish), 988 nucleotides long. NCBI's taxonomy places the organism in Eukaryota, Metazoa, Chordata, Actinopteri, Siluriformes, Ictaluridae. The record is from Ensembl.
AAAGUGUGAUAAGGUGAAAAAAGUGACAGUUUAUGUCUAGAAAGUCACUUUUCAUCAAAAGUACAAUAACAAAACUAGUUCCCAUUCAUCCUGUGUCUCCAUGCACACUUGUGCUCUUUAUCCGCUCAAAACGCUAUACAGCGAACGAGAAGGCGCUAGGAGCAAAGGAAAGUGGUUUUUCUAACAAACUCAUAUAAUCAGUUGCACUGACCUACUCCAAUUUGAUAUUUUUCACAUAGUUAGACAUAAUAUAGUACUAUGAAAUGUUUCUGACCCAAAAUAUUACGAAAUAUGAUUGUUUACAUUAAAAUGCAAAAGUUGAUGAAAAAGUAUGAUAAGGUGAAAAAAGUGACAUUUUAUGUCUAGAAAGUGACUUUUCAUCAAAAGUACAAUUACAAAACUAGUUCCCAUUCAUCCUGUGUCUCCUUACACACUUGUGCUCUUUAUCCGCUCAAAACGCUAUACAGCGAACGAGAAGGCGCUAGGAGCAAAGGAAAGUGGUUUUUCUAACAAACUCAUAUAAUCAAGUGCACAACCUACUCCAAUUUGAUUUUUUUCACAUAGUUAGACAUAAUAUAGUACUAUGAAAUGUUUCUGACCCAAAAUAUUACGAAAUAUGAUUGUUUACAUUAAAAUGCAAAAGUUGAUGAAAAAGAAUGAUAAGGUGAAAAAAGUGACAUUUUAUGUCUAGAAAGUGACUUUUCAUCAAAAGUUCAAUUACAAAACUAGUUCCCAUUCAUUCUGUGUCCCUUACACACUUGUGCUCUUUAUCCGCUCAAAACGCUAUACAGCGAACGAGAAGGCGCUAGGAGCAAAGGAAAGUGGUUUUUCUAACAAACUCAUAUAAUCAAGUGCACGACCUACUCCAAUUUGAUUUUUUUCACAUAGUUAGACAUAAUAUAGUACUAUGAAAUGUUUCUGACCCAAAAUAUUACGAAAUAUGAUUGUUUACAUUAAAAUGCAAAAGUUGAUGAAAAAGUAUGAUAAG